AUCUGCCUUUGAGCGGGGGACACCCUUUGGAAACGAAUGCUAAUACCGCAUAACAACUUUAAACACAAGUUUUAAGUUUGAAAGAUGCAAUUGCAUCACUCAAAGAUGAUCCCGCGUUGUAUUAGCUAGUUGGUGAGGUAAAGGCUCACCAAGGCGAUGAUACAUAGCCGACCUGAGAGGGUGAUCGGCCACAUUGGGACUGAGACACGGCCCAAACUCCUACGGGAGGCAGCAGUAGGGAAUCUUCGGCAAUGGACGAAAGUCUGACCGAGCAACGCCGCGUGAGUGAAGAAGGUUUUCGGAUCGUAAAACUCUGUUGGUAGAGAAGAACGUUGGUGAGAGUGGAAAGCUCAUCAAGUGACGGUAACUACCCAGAAAGGGACGGCUAACUACGUGCCAGCAGCCGCGGUAAUACGUAGGUCCCGAGCGUUGUCCGGAUUUAUUGGGCGUAAAGCGAGCGCAGGUGGUUUAUUAAGUCUGGUGUAAAAGGCAGUGGCUCAACCAUUGUAUGCAUUGGAAACUGGUAGACUUGAGUGCAGGAGAGGAGAGUGGAAUUCCAUGUGUAGCGGUGAAAUGCGUAGAUAUAUGGAGGAACACCGGUGGCGAAAGCGGCUCUCUGGCCUGUAACUGACACUGAGGCUCGAAAGCGUGGGGAGCAAACAGGAUUAGAUACCCUGGUAGUCCACGCCGUAAACAAUGAGUGCUAGAUGUAGGGAGCUAUAAGUUCUCUGUAUCG
This 736-nucleotide ribosomal RNA is filed under the name uncultured bacterium. RNAcentral describes it as "bacterial SSU rRNA". It matches the Rfam family "Bacterial small subunit ribosomal RNA", at positions 124 to 848 of the family's 1533-position model. The record is from RNAcentral.